Molecule: long non-coding RNA, 329 nt
Filed under: Physcomitrium patens
Lineage: Eukaryota; Viridiplantae; Streptophyta; Bryopsida; Funariales; Funariaceae
Description: long non-coding RNA (PPAT_LNC004435)
Source: RNAcentral
AGAUUCUAUUAGAAUUAGAAUCUUGUUUUUGUAAUUUUCCUUCUAUCUUCUAUAGCUAGGUGCUCGGUCCAUUCUCAAGCAAGGUUUCACAUAAUACAACAAUGCCAAUAUCUCCUUCUUGAACCAAUGAAUUACUCUCAAAUUUUAUUUAAAAUAUUGAAAAUCAAAUCUAGUAUCCGUACAAAAAAAAUUCACUUCAAUCCAUUAAAUAACUUAGAAAUAUUUUUUGACCUUCAAACUCCAAUUGCUAAGACUUCAACCCACAAAAACCUUCACAUACUUUGAUCUAAUUAUUCAAUUGACCUCAGAAUUUGCACACACAUUUUCAA